GCGUGGCUGUACAAUAACAUAGCCUGCUUCUAUGGAUGUGGACAUUGCUGGCAAGGCCAGCAUUUAUUGACCACUGCAAAUUCUUUGAGAAAAUAGUGGGAUGAGAGAAUUGUUGACUGAGCCUGCACUUCUUGCCCUUGAGAAGAAUUUUUGUGAUUCACUGAUGUUUCUCAGCCUCAACUCAUUGUCAUACCAACAACAGCCACCACCAACAGUUCAACAGCUCAUGAUUAGCUGGGAGCUCUUGGCAUUUCUUCACCAGAAGGUAGUGAGCCACAGAAAGCAACUGAGACAAAUACAAAUGUUUUCAAGGAGCUGACUUCUUGAAUUGUUACUGUCCAUGUGGUGUAAGUGCACCCAUAAUGCUGUGAGAGAAGGAGUUCCAGGAUUUUGAGCCAACAACACUGAAAGAACCAAGUCAGGCUGAUUGUUGGCUUGAAGGUGGUGCUUUUCCCAUGUUUCUAGAUGUCUUGUCCUACCAUGCUCUUGGCUUGUGCUUUAUAAAAGGAAGCCAUUGUUUGUGGAGUCAGGCCUGAGUUAUUCAGUUCAAGAUUCUGAGCUUCUAACCUUGUAGACAGUAUUUAUACGGUGAGCCCAGUUUAGUCUCUGGUCAAUGGUAAUACCCAGGAUAUUGGUAAUGAGGACCUCAGAGGUGAUGAUGACAUUGAACAUCAAAGGUCAAUGGUUAGAUUCUCAUUUGCUGGAGAUGGUGAUUGUCUGGUUCAUGUGUGGUGCGAAUGCUACUUGCCACUUAUCAGACCAAGCCAGUAUAAUUUUUUUUUAAGAUAACUUAGUGUGGAAACAGGCCC
This is a non-coding RNA of Chiloscyllium plagiosum (whitespotted bambooshark), 809 nucleotides long. Lineage: Eukaryota; Metazoa; Chordata; Chondrichthyes; Orectolobiformes; Hemiscylliidae. The record is from RefSeq and is a predicted model, not a curated record.